GGCCCAAAUCUCCAGUACUUUUUCUGCUCAUAAAAAUCUGAUUAUUUGCUAAUCCUUUAGAAUGUAUGGUUUCUAUUGACAGUUGGAAAAGGAUCACUUCAUUCACGCUGCCUAGUCAAGUGACCCUAGCCUCUUUAGGUAAGUGAUUCAAUAUAUUAUUAAUAAAAGUUACCUUUGGUUCAAGCUUUGAAAAUAAAUUAUAUUGUUUAUGUAGGUAAAACACAAAGAUCAGAAAUCAAUGACAUUUGAAACAGCAAGACGAAAGGGAGUUUAACAUCCAGCAUAUAUGAAUAACUACAACCCUACAGAAAAAAAAUCCAGUUCAAAACUCGGCAAAGGAUUUAAGUAGACAUUUUUUCCAAGAAGAUAUACAAAUGUCCAAGGAGUACGUGAAAAGCUUCUCAGCAUCAUUAAUCAUUAGGAAAAUGCAAAUCAGAAUCACAAUGAGCCAUUACCUCAUACCCAUUAGGAUGGCUAUUUUUUUAAAGCAAAAAAAAAAAAAAGGUGUAGCUGCUAUGGAAAAUAAUAUGCUGGUUCCUCAACAAAAUAAAUAUAGAAUUACCAUAUGAUCCAGUAAUUCCACAUUUAGGUGUAUACACAAAAAAGCUAAAAGCAGAACCUCAAAGAGGUCUUGUAUACCAAUGUUCAUAAAAUCAUUAUUUACAGUAGCAAAACGGUAGAAAAAUCUCUAAUGACUAUCAGUGGAUGAAUGGAUAAACAAAGUAUGGUCUAUCUACACAAUGAAACAUACCCAGUUUUAAAAAGGAGUGAAAUUCUGAUGGAUGCUACAACAUAGAUGAACCUUGAGGCCUUAUGCUAGAUGAAAUAUGCCAGACACAAAAGGACAAUUAUUGUAUGAUUCCACCUAUCUGAAAUACCUGGAAUUCUCAUAUUCAUAGAGACAGACAGUAGAAUAGUGGUUUCCAGGAUGGGGAAAAGAGGAGAACAGGAAGUGAUUGUUCAAUAGAUAUGGAGUUUCGCUUGGGAUGAUGAAAAAGUUCUGGAGAUGAUGGUGGUGAUGACUGCACAACAAUGUGAAUGUACUUAAUGACAUGUAAAAAUGGUUAAAAUGGUAAAUAUUAUCUUAUGUAUAUUUUACCAAUAAUAAAAAUACUUUAACACUG
RNAcentral lists this long non-coding RNA (1124 nucleotides) under Homo sapiens (human). RNAcentral describes it as "non-protein coding lnc-RNF6-2:1". Lineage: Eukaryota; Metazoa; Chordata; Mammalia; Primates; Hominidae. The record is from RNAcentral.